Molecule: long non-coding RNA, 273 nt
Filed under: Setaria viridis
Lineage: Eukaryota; Viridiplantae; Streptophyta; Magnoliopsida; Poales; Poaceae
Description: long non-coding RNA (SVIR_LNC010284)
Source: RNAcentral
GAUCUGAGUGAGAAAUGUUUUAAAUUAUUUUCAUUUUUUAUAUUACAGAUAGGGGUGUUUGGAUAUGAGAUGCUAAACUUUAACAGUGUCACAUCAAAUGUUCGGAUACUAAUUAGGAGGACUAAAUAUGAGCUAAUAAUAAAACUAAUUGCAGAACCCUGUGCUAAUUCGCGAGACGGAUCUAUUAAACCUAAUUAAUCCAUCAUUAGCAAAUGGUUACUGUAGCACCACAUUAUCAAAUCAUGGACUAAUUAGGCUUAAUAAAUUCGUCUC